UACAGAGGUCUCAAGCGUUGUUCGGAUUCAUUGGGCGUAAAGGGUGCGUAGGCGGCGCGGUAAGUCAGGUGUGAAAUCUUGGAGCUUAACUCCGAAACUGCAUUCGAUACUGCCGUGCUUGAGGACUGGAGAGGAGACUGGAAUUUACGGUGUAGCGGUGAAAUGCGUAGAUAUCGUAAGGAAGACCAGUGGCGAAGGCGGGUCUCUGGACAGUUCCUGACGCUGAGGCACGAAGGCCAGGGGAGCAAACGGG
RNAcentral lists this ribosomal RNA (253 nucleotides) under uncultured bacterium. Its description in RNAcentral is "partial 16S ribosomal RNA". It matches the Rfam family "Bacterial small subunit ribosomal RNA", at positions 524 to 776 of the family's 1533-position model. The record is from RNAcentral.